UACCGAUGAGCUCACAGAUCU
RNAcentral lists this microRNA (21 nucleotides) under Sarcophilus harrisii (Tasmanian devil). RNAcentral's name for it is "Sha-Mir-12358-v1_5p (mature (guide))". The record is from RNAcentral. RNAcentral also lists the same sequence under 1 other name. Lineage: Eukaryota; Metazoa; Chordata; Mammalia; Dasyuromorphia; Dasyuridae.